AUGAACGCUAGCGGCAGGCUUAACACAUGCAAGUCGAGGGGCAUCGAGAGUAGCAAUACUUGUCGGCGACCGGCGCAAGGGUGCGUAACACGUGAGCAACAUACCCGUUUCAGGAGGAUAACCGGAGGAAACUCUGCCUAAUACUCCAUGACAUCAUCAAACGGCAUCGUUUAAUGAUUAAAGAUUCAUCGGAAACGGCUUGGCUCGCGGGACAUUAGCUUGUUGGUGAGGUAACGGCUCACCAAGGCCACGAUGUCUAGGGGUUCUGAGAGGAAGGUCCCCCACACUGGAACUGAGACACGGUCCAGACUCCUACGGGAGGCAGCAGUGAGGAAUAUUGGACAAUGGUCGGAAGACUGAUCCAGCCAUGCCGCGUGAAGGUUACUGUCCUAUGGAUAUUAAACUUCUUUUGUAUGAGAGCAAUAAGGUGCACGUGUGCACCGAUGAGAGUAUCAUACGAAUAAGCAUCGGCUAACUCCGUG
This 482-nucleotide ribosomal RNA is filed under the name uncultured bacterium. Its description in RNAcentral is "bacterial SSU rRNA". It matches the Rfam family "Bacterial small subunit ribosomal RNA", at positions 29 to 507 of the family's 1533-position model. The record is from RNAcentral.